Gasterosteus aculeatus aculeatus (three-spined stickleback) is the source of this 3539-nucleotide long non-coding RNA. The record is from Ensembl. NCBI's taxonomy places the organism in Eukaryota, Metazoa, Chordata, Actinopteri, Perciformes, Gasterosteidae.
GGGGGGAUCAUAUUAUGACAUACGGACACACAACAAAAGAGAUCUCGCAUAUUAAAUCGUAACCAGACGAGAUGCACGCGGCUCGACUCUCUGAAGUUUGCUUCACAGCGAUCGAUCAGCGGAACUCGCUGCAACGUCAUCGGUGAACUGUGAGCUCUUGGGAGGAAAGAAAAACAACAACAACAACAACAACCUGGAGGACUUUAAGCAUCUGUGAGCCGCAUCAGUAGAAUCAAUGCAAACACGCAACACGCUCGCUCAGCAGCACCAGUGCAGUGAUCAAUCAGCGUGAAUAUAAAGCACACACACACACCUGCCUGACACCCAUUUAACCAAACUGCUAACCUUAACCCCAGAAUCUAAAAUUAGCCCGUGGACGCCAUGACGGAUGUCCUCAUUAUCCAACACUCACCCUGUUCUCUCCAUCAGCGGAGGACUCGCCGCCUCUAGAGUCCGGACACGCGCGGCUCUGCUCAAUGACCAGACAGAUUAGUUUGUAUCAGUUCAUCCCAGACAGGUGACCUCUGACCCCUGACCAGGAAGCAGGAAGCGUGGCAUAGGGUGAGGGGGGGGGGGGGGGGGGGGGGCCCAACUAGAAACAGGCCCUCCCGUUUCACUGGCGUUAUCUCCGCCUCUCUCUCUCUCUCUCUCAUUAGUGAGCAGAGCGCAAAACAGCCACGGGAUCAGUUUUUAGCAUCUCGAGGCCACAACCAAAGGAUGUGGAGAUGAGACACCGGGACCUGUAGCGCCACAUCAGUUUGGUAAAAAAGGCGGAGGCUCCGCUCAGCCGCUCCCUGUGAGAAUGUGACCCCCCCCAUGCGGAUUAAUCUGUUUUUAACUACGCUUGGCCACCUGCCAAAGCCCACGGUGUUUGUAUUCUAUCGCCGCUUUGACAGCGAGACACUUGCUGCCCUCUCGUUACGCCCCGUGACAUAAAAAGUUGCCUUUCAACACAAUGACUUUUCUAUUUUCCUCUAAAAAAAAGAGCCUCUUGUUGAACGCGGCAAAAAAAGAAAGAAGAAAAGGACUCUAAUGGUUCCGACGCACCGCUACAUCUCCGUCUCCCUGCCGGGGAUAAGCUGAACGUUGCAUUAGUUUCCAUUCAUCCGCGCCCCUCUGAUCCGCUCUGCGUAAGGGCGGCGCCCGCGGAGCCACGAAUGCGGCCACCUUUAGUUCAUUGUUGAGACCGACCCCGAUGUCACCGCAAUCCCACGGGGAGACGAAUGCUUUGAGUUGGACUUUUAAAAAAAACACCUUGAUGUGUUAGAAGGCAACUAUAAAAAAAGAAGAAGAGACUGUUUGAAAGGAGGUUUUUGUCUGAAAACACAGUCGGUGGUCAGAUGUAGACGUGGGACAGUAGACGUGGGACAGUAGACGUGGGACAGUAUCUGUGUGUGCCUGAGUUGAUGUGACGGGCUCCUGUUGGAGGGUCAGGAUGGAAACACACACACACACACACACACACACACACACACACACACACACACACUCGGGGAUGUUCCCAUAGCCUUUCCGAAUGGUUAGGCAAUCUGUCGCCCUCCCUCCGUCGCUCUCACUCAGCCUCUCGUGUCCCACUCUCACUCACUUCCUCUCUGGCUCCAUCAGUGUUCCCUUCCUGUCCCUUUUUGUCAACUCACCUCUAGUAUUUUUUCCCGGCCGUCCUUCCACUCACAAGGUGAGGGAGAAGAGUACAAAUGGAGAACUGCACACAAGCAUUUGUUUUUGUGCUUUCCGACUGGUGAAAAUCUGCAAUAUUCUUCUGUAGAAUACGAAAACAAAAGAGAGGCCCGAUUACGUUCCACCAUCUCUGUACGACAGCCACAGUGUGUAUCCUUAAUACACCUGUUCACCUGUCCUUUCUGCCUGAGAACAGAGGAAACAGGGAAGAAAGGCUGCGCUGGGUCUAAUGAGCGGAUUCUCCCACCAGAACCACCAAUUAAGGGCCUCUCAUUAGCGAGGUCCACAGAGCCGCCACUGUUCUGCACAGCGCAAGAGGCCGGGGAUGAACACGCCACUGAUGAUUAUAGAUCAAUGGCGCGCACACGCACACACACACACACACACACACACACACACACAUUCAACCCCUGCACUGAACUAUACACUAAUACAAAAUACAAGCACAUAAAACUGAAGGUUACCUGACAACCACUUUUGGAUGGAGCAUUUCCUCUCUUGACUCCGCUUCAAAUAACACAAGAACCCUGAACAAAUACGUCAAGUUAUGUCAGGUGUCUCUCUCUCUCUCUCCCUCUCUCUCUUUUCCUCUCUUGCACGUCUUUUUGUUUGCCGUAACCCUAAACUUCAGGAUCACGUGUCAGACACGGGAGUGAGGAAGAGAGAACUUAUUAAAGAGAAACAACCCAGUCAGAAACACCAAGAACGUUGAGCACAAAGCAGAGAGAAGGAGCUUUUGCAGGGUGCACCCGUGGGUGGCGCCUCGUCCUUAUCAUUGCUAUUAAAAGGGAGAGGGUGAUAAACACGUCGCUCUGAUACUUGUUCUUCAAACAUCACUUCACCUGAGCGGCGAGAGUCUGCCUUUGGCAAAUAUUAGUUUGUGUAUUUUCGUUAAUCAGGUUCAGAGAGGAGCUUCAGGGAAUUAAUGUAACAUGUUACAUGUACACAUGUUACAUGUGUACAUGAAUCUGUACACAUGUAACAUGUGUGUGUGAGUUUGUAAACAUGAACAGCCGUGUCUUGACUUGAAAGAAAAAUACACAAAAGUGUGUUUGUUUUCUGUCUAUCACCAAACCUGGAGCAGUUUCUAUGGCAACUGUGGGACCACGUGGGCCCUGAAUGCAUCACAACAGAAGAGGUCGUACCCGUAAGUAAGAGGCAGGGUGAUCGUAAAUGGACAUUAUGCCGUAUGGAUUAUUUACAAUCGGUUCACUCAGUUCAGUUGUAUAUUUAUCUCCUACAUCCAUCACCCAAUGACAUAAGUAUCAUCUGUCGUAAGAGCAAGGAAUUAUCCAAAAAGUAUCAAAUAAAGAAUUGUUUAAAUGUUCAAAUAUCAAAAUCAUACAGACCACUAGAGGACAGCAGCUGCUCUCUGCACCUUAAAUCUGAUUCCAUGACAGACAAAAGGGAAAAUAAAAGUCUUUAAAACACAGCGAUGUUUGUCCUGAAUAGAGCAGAUUGUCUUCGUUUAGGAACUACGGUUUGAAUUCAUUGGUCAGUGAGAUGAGCCUGUAGUUCUCCUCGAGUGUUAAACGUCCUUUCAUUCCUUCAAGCCUCACCCUCCAAAAAAUGUGAGGAAUUUUAUGUGUUUCGUACGGAGAGAGUUGCAAGGACACACUUCUCACUCCAGAUAAACAGCGGCGUGUCUCGCAAUGCAUCCCUGCUGCUCGCUUCAAACGGCCUCCAGUUAAAUCUGUUGUAACAGAGAAUCGCUUCAGAUGAGUUGAUUGACUGAUUGUAACAACCCCACCGACUCUCCCCGUGCACACAGCACACAGUCAACGUCUCUCAAAGUUCACGUCACUUUCAGUUCCAUGUCAGUUUUACGGACAUGGAACUGACACUGUGCCCCCCCCCCCCCC